RNAcentral lists this long non-coding RNA (361 nucleotides) under Elaeis guineensis (African oil palm). RNAcentral's name for it is "long non-coding RNA (EGUI_LNC081730)". The record is from RNAcentral. Lineage: Eukaryota; Viridiplantae; Streptophyta; Magnoliopsida; Arecales; Arecaceae.
GUUCUAUUGAGUAAGCGCAUAAACUCUUCUCUGGGUUUUAAAAAUCUGUCCACCACUCUUAUUUUGUCCUUCAUAAGUUCUUUGGCCAACUUGAUUUUCAGCAUUUAGUGGGCAGCUAGCAAUUUUAUGAUCCAUCUGAUCACAUUUGAAACAAGCACCUGCAUGAUUUUUGCCACAUCUGGAGCACCGCUCACCAUCAAUCUGUUGAGUCUUAUUAUCUAUUGCUUCCUUAGCUGAACUUUUGAUGUUUUUAUUAUUCUGCCCUUGUGUAUCAUUUGAUUUUGCUCUCUUUCUUUGCUUUCUUUCUCUUUCCGUGCGUUCUUCAUUGACUUUUCUUUCAAUUAUCAGUACUUUGUUUACC